CUAUCUUUAGCUCAGUUGGUUAGAGCAGAUGGCUCAUAACCGUCCGGUCGUAGGUUCGAGUCCUACAGGGUACA
This 74-nucleotide transfer RNA is filed under the name Enterococcus faecium. Its description in RNAcentral is "tRNA-Ile". It matches the Rfam family "tRNA". From Rfam's summary of the family: Transfer RNA (tRNA) molecules are approximately 80 nucleotides in length. Lineage: Bacteria; Bacillati; Bacillota; Bacilli; Lactobacillales; Enterococcaceae. The record is from RNAcentral.